Molecule: long non-coding RNA, 1336 nt
Organism: Scylla paramamosain (green mud crab)
Lineage: Eukaryota; Metazoa; Arthropoda; Malacostraca; Decapoda; Portunidae
Exons: 3
Source: RefSeq, a predicted model, not a curated record
CCCUCACACACACACACACACACACACACACACACACACACACACACACACACACACACACACACACACACACACACACACACACACACACACACACACACACACACACACACACACACACACACACACACACACACACACACACGUUCCCUCAACACGUAAUCCGUCAGCCAUCUCAACACACUCAAUCCAUUUCAUCACGCAUCUCGCCUUGUUCCUCUUCCACUCUCACUCUAUUUUCAUUAUCUUUAAUCGUCUCGUUCAUCUAAUUGUGGAAAAAAAAAAAAAAGUUCAGCAGUUAUGGAAGUCUGACAUUGCCUAAUAAGCGGCUCUUUUCCCUCUCACCUCCUUGCAUGAACACAAAGAAAUAGAGAUCCUGGGAUAUCUACCAAGGAAUACUCCACAAGUGCACCCAAAGUAGCGUAUAAUAUUUUUGGUGUGGUGAAUGACUCGUGUGGGAUAGCACUGGCAUAUAGAGUCCGCCAAAAUAACUACUGUUUCUUGUCUAUUUAUUUAUUUUUUGCAUCAGGCACUGAGCUGCAAGUCAGGCAAGUAAAAUUAUGGUUAGUCCGCCGAUCAAAACUGGCCUGAAAGCACAGUCACGAGUUUUCAAACCAGUUAAGUUCCUGACGUGAUCUAAUGUCUGACUCUUCAAAGUAUGUGUGUGUGGAAGGUGGAGGGAGUGGAGGCAGACUAUUCCACAUGCCGCACACACACACACACACACACACACACACACACACACACACACACACACACACACACACACACACACACACACACACACCUCCCAACACGAGAUCACACCAUGGGACCCGCCGAUAACAGAACACCACGCAGGCAACUUUACUGCGAACGCUGGACAAGUGGUCACGUGGAUAUCACGGGCAGUACUUGCCCUGGCUGCGGAACAUUAUAAACAACGACGUCCUGCCAAUCACAGCGUCGCUACGUGUACAUCACGAGGAUGGAAGCAAAAUCGACGGAAGCUACAUAUCGAUGAGAACACCACUACUACCACCACCACCACCACCACUACCACCGCCAACAACACCAACGCAAAAGUGCCUCCUUUGGAAUGACGCCCCGCCUGCUGCCCCGCUCCAGGCCUGGCGUGGGGACGGGCCGCUGCUCCCAUCCCUCCCUCGCAGCAGAAGGGCACAGGUCACCGAUGAUUCACAAGCCACCAUGGAGGGUGAAGAACUGUGAAUCUGUGACUCAACCUGACAUACUAAUUAAGAAGAAGCAAAGACUGUGACUGCUGUACAGAUACGUCCAGGUCGCAACUGACUUCUCUAUAUUUGCCUGCCCAUGUCCAAUAAAGUUUCGUAAACAA